AGUCCGUCAGGCUGAACGGGACCAACCGGUGUUCAGGCCGACUGGAGGUGAAGUCCGACGAGUCGUGGUCAUCGGUGUGUGAAGGGGAGUUUGACCAGCAGGUUGCAGAGGUGGUCUGCAGGGAGCUGGACUGUGGGGCUCCUUCAGUCCUCCAGGGGGCGCUCUAUGGAGAAGUGGAGGCUCCAGUGUGGAGCAGAGAGUUCCAGUGUGAAGGAAAUGAGUCUCAUCUCCUGGAGUGUCACAGAUCAACCUGCUCAUCCGGCCGAGCACUUGGACUCACCUGCUCAGGUCCACGCAGAGUCAGGUUGGUGGGAGGAGCCAGUCGCUGCGCUGGUGAACUGGAGAUGAACCACCAGAGAGAGUGGAGACCAGUGACUGUCGGGGUUGGAUGGAACCAGAUAUCAGUGGAUAAAGUUUGCACACAUCUGGAUUGUGGAUCUGCUGUUUCAACAAAAGUUACGGGAUAAUUCUCCAUACAGACGUGUGUGGUGGAUCGAUAACGACUGUGUCCAGUCCGAAUCUGAACUCAGGGAAUGUGUGAAGCUGACUGAUCUUUAUAAAACCAAGAAAGGCCAUGAAGUGAUCUGCUCAGGUAACCUGCUGUCGUCAGGCGACCUCCUCAGAGGAGGUUAUGUUCUCGCUCCCGUCCAUUCGUAUGUUUGUUGGUUUGUUUAUUCGUCGGCAGGAUUACGCAAAAACUAUGGUGUGACGUGGGCCAAGAAAGAACCAAUGACAUGUUGGCGUGGAUCCGGACAAAGGGUCUGAUUGGCUCAGUGAUGUGAACGUCUGAGAGUCAUUCAUUCAUCACCACAGUAUAUCUGGCCUCAUCCGGCCCUUGUUCUCGUAGCUUUGCUGUACAGAAGUGAGAGCUGUGCGCCGGUCGUCACGCUUCAUCUCUCUGUGUUUACAGGUUUGCUGGUUCAGCCAAACGUCUCCGUCUCGCCCAUUGUUGGGGUCUCCAGAGCCGAGCAGCAGGGGUAUCAUGUGCUCCUGGGCUCCAGCUUCACCGUCACGUGUUCUACUGAACCACAGUACCAAGGAGGCUCCUUCCACCUUCUCUUCACCACCUCCGACACGGCACACAACUACACCCUGCCGGCUGUCAAUCACUCCGCCCACUUCCUGUUCCCUGCUGCGCGCAGCGCCCACCGAGGGGACUACACAUGUGUUUACCACGCCUACGUUUUCUCCUAUAACUUCUCUUCCGAGAGCCGGCCUCUCCAUGUCAUUGUCUCAGGUAUCUUCCUGGAGAAUCUGUGCAGAUGUGUCGUGGUGCUGCUGCUUCUGACGGUGUCGACCCUCAUCCUCUACUUCCACUUCAAGGUGACGGACACACACCCAGCGUCCAUCCUUCAUCAGAGGAGAGAUGUUGAAUUAGCGCUAACAGGAAGUGUCUGCUGUCGUGUGUUUCCAGGCCGAAGGACGCCGGAGGAGACAGAGGCCUGA
This 1446-nucleotide long non-coding RNA is filed under the name Scophthalmus maximus (turbot). Its description in RNAcentral is "lncRNA (ENSSMAG00000028199.1)". Lineage: Eukaryota; Metazoa; Chordata; Actinopteri; Pleuronectiformes; Scophthalmidae. The record is from RNAcentral.